UUCAUACCUUUGCUGAAUCUUAUGUUAAGAACGGGGGAACCAAUAUGGCAGGAGGCUGUUUGCGCCUGCCCGGGGUGAAUCCUGGCGGAGGCCGGGAAGGAAGCUCUCAAUUCCUAAUCCGGCAGCUAACUCCGUAAGCAUAUUGAGAGAAAGG
RNAcentral lists this small RNA (154 nucleotides) under Bacillus infantis. Its description in RNAcentral is "c-di-AMP sequence". It matches the Rfam family "c-di-AMP riboswitch aptamer (ydaO/yuaA leader)". From Rfam's summary of the family: This family represents a conserved RNA structure found upstream of the ydaO and yuaA genes in Bacillus subtilis and related genes in other bacteria. The ydaO/yuaA element is thought to act as a genetic "off" switch for the ydaO and yuaA genes in its native state. Lineage: Bacteria; Bacillati; Bacillota; Bacilli; Caryophanales; Bacillaceae. RNAcentral also lists the same sequence under 1 other name. The record is from RNAcentral.